This 467-nucleotide ribosomal RNA is filed under the name uncultured bacterium. RNAcentral describes it as "partial 16S ribosomal RNA". It matches the Rfam family "Bacterial small subunit ribosomal RNA", at positions 28 to 507 of the family's 1533-position model. The record is from RNAcentral.
GACGAACGCUGGCGGCGUGCUUAACACAUGCAAGUCGAACGGAAAGGCUCCAGCUUGCUGGCGUACUCGAGUGGCGAACGGGUGAGUAACACGUGGGUAAUCCGCCCUGCACUCUGGGAUAAGCCUGGGAAACUGGGUCUAAUACUGGAUAUGACCUUUCUCCUUAUGGGGUUUGGUGGAAAGUUUUUCGGUGUAGGAUGAGCCCGCGGCCUAUCAGCUUGUUCGUGGGGUGAUGGCCUACCAAGGCGACGACGGGUAGCCGGCCUGAGAGGGUGAUCGGCCACAUUGGGACUGAGAUACGGCCCAGACUCCUACGGGAGGCAGCAGUGGGGAAUAUUGCACAAUGGGCGGAAGCCUGAUGCAGCGACGCCGCGUGAGGGAUGACGGCCUUCGGGUUGUAAACCUCUUUCAGCAGGGACGAAGCGUAAGUGACGGUACCUGCAGAAGAAGCACCGGCUAACUACGUG